AUCUCAAUCUCCUCUGGUUUUAAAAUAUUUAACUCUCUGCUCUGUUUCUCAGCUUUAGGAGAUGUCCUUCUCUUCCGCAUCUUCCUCCUUUCCCUCUCCUUGUUGCUUGACCCUCAGGUCUGUGUCCCCCUGACCUUGACCUUGGAAGCAGUCAAUUUAGACAGUACCAGGCCAAACCAUGAGAAUGUGACUCCAGGACUAAUGGGUUGUGUCAGGCAUCUGCAUUCUGAAAUUAAUGGGAAUACCACCAGCUCCCAGGAAGCCCUGCCAAAAAGCAAAGGUGACAACGACUUCUGGCAGCAACAGUGCUGCAGUAAUAGGGCCUUGAUUAAGGUCAGCAAAGGACUGACUGCAGAACAGGACUUCUGGGUCUCAGGCAAAGAAGAAAAGACUUGUAACUAGUGAGGCCAAGAAUUAAAACCGAGGUGAUGAGUUUCCAAGCCACUCAGCAGCGAACCGUGGAGUCAAAGUGAAAACAAUUACCAAGGGUGAGUCUACUCUAUAUGCAGUAGAAAUGCAUAUUCAUACUUCAUUAGCAACUAACUGGGCAUUUCAUAUUCUCCAAUUUCCCUGUACUAAUUGUCUAUCUCAGUAAGUGUAAACUAUUAGAAAGAAGCACAAGUACAGUAUCUUUUGCAUUAUGGGGAAAUGUACCUCCAUCAUUAGGAAGAGAUUUCAGAAAAUGCCAAUAUUAGAUGAUCUCAAAGCCAAGGUUUUGUUUUGUUCUCAUUGCACAGUCUGGUAAAACAUGCAUUCCUAGGUCCCCAGGCCCAAGAAGUUAAGGUAAGAUGGCAUUUAUGGAUAUCAGAUACCAUAAACAUUUGUGAAAAUGAUAAAUGAAGAAGCUACAGAUCUUUUUAAUACCGUCCUCAAUUCACCUCUUGCGUGAAUAUUUGGCCUAAUUAAGUCUGUAAUUGUAACAGUAUUAGACAAAUCUUGUGUAACACAGAAAUACAAACUGUUUUGUGCUGCUAGGAAAGAAAGAAAACAAAGAGACAGAGAUAAGCUGUUGAGAGGGAGAGAGGAAAGAAAGAAGCAAGGAAGGGAGUGAGGGAAGGAAGAAGAAAAGGAGGGAGGGAAUAAUAGUACAACAGUGUAGAUACGAUGAAGAACACUUGGUACUAAGUACUUAGUACUUGGUACUUAGACUUUGGUACUAAGCAACAGUGGGCAAUUUAUUCACUAAACAUCAUAUAUUAUGUUUUAAUAUCAUUGCCAUGGAACUCAGCACAGCUUAAAUCCAGAAAAACUAAAUAAUAAAGUGCAUGGAUACAGGUAUUUGAAAUGCAUUAUUUCCUUAAUUCUAAGAAAUGGCAACCUAUAGUCUUCCAUGCUUAUGCAGAAAGCCAAAAUCAGUUUUUUGGUCUACCAAUAAGUCACCAUAUCUUACCAUGUUUUAUUCUUUUCUGUCUCUUCCCACUUGCCCAAACUAAUUUUGUCUGUCUAUUCCCUUGAAUGUUUAGUUAGAGAAGAGCUAAUUUUGAACUUGUGUUAGAUUCUGGUCACUCAUGGAGAAAUUAAAAUCUUUGAGACAGUGUAGACACUGCCUUACGGAAGUAUUCAACCUGAUCAUAGAACUAGACCAGUUACAUAUUAAACAACUAAAGUACAGUGCCAAAGCAAUUGUCAAUGAGCACAAAAUAAGAUGUUUUCUAUGAUUUAAUUACAUAUUUGUAACACAUAUUUAUGCUAUUUUUGUGGCUUUGUUCUACCAUCCUGUUAUUCUAUUCAGAGUUUACAGAAAUCCUUAAUGAACACUGCUAAAAAUAACUUCCCUCAGAGACAUAUGUGGCUUACCUUGAUAAUGAUGGUCUCAUCACUUCUCUUAUUUUAUUUGUGCAGGUGAUCAUUAAAAUUAAGCUCUUGAUUAAAAUUACUUAGGGUAAUUUAUCUCAGGCUGCAUUCUCACUUAACAAAUGAAGAGAUCCAUAAAUACUGAUGAGGCUGGUUUUCACCAUGCUUCGUAAUUCCUUGGAAUAGAAGGUGUUAUGUUAACAAAAAAUCACGAUAAUUAACUGGAAUCCAAGCCCUGGGUAUCAAUAGACAUUCAUAGUCAUCAGCAAAUGUAACAAAGAAAUUGUC
RNAcentral lists this long non-coding RNA (2082 nucleotides) under Papio anubis (olive baboon). Its description in RNAcentral is "lncRNA (ENSPANG00000048961.1)". The record is from RNAcentral. Lineage: Eukaryota; Metazoa; Chordata; Mammalia; Primates; Cercopithecidae.